RNAcentral lists this long non-coding RNA (794 nucleotides) under Gallus gallus (chicken). Lineage: Eukaryota; Metazoa; Chordata; Aves; Galliformes; Phasianidae. The record is from RNAcentral.
GGAAUGCAAGACAAAACUCUUUCUAUGUUUUCAGAAUUCACAUCGACAUCAUUUACAGCAACUAGAGCAUCUCCAAUCAAUAUUUGGCCUGUUUUCAUUGCUGAACCGCCAGGCACCAAGCCAUGUACUACAAGCUUCUCUUCACUGAUUCCUCUGGUGACCUUAUCCUUCUUGCCUUGUUUUUCUGCUCUUCUGCUGCUCCACGAAGACUGAUGGAGAAUUCCUACCAAGGCCUCUAGCAGCCUGUGCUGCUCAUCUUCUCCAGCAUUCCCCAACAGUUUUCUGGGAUUUACAUAAACAUAGAUAUCUUUGUACUUUUGCUGUAUUUCACCCAUUUUCUGAGUGGAGUGGUGUUUCAGUAUGGAAGUUGGACCACUGGAGCGCACGUUACAGCUUCCACUUCCUUUCUUACUAGAAUGCUUUGGUAAAAGAUUCUUCUUCUUUAAGAUUUUUGUCAGUUUCUUCAGUUCAUACUUUCUUUCUUUUCGUGAUCCCUCCUGAAUAACUUCCGCUUCAUUUUCACGAAAUCUGACAUGAUUCACCGAUGGUAUUUCUGGACAGGCGUUCUGAAGUAAAGUUUCUUCUUCACUUUCACUCAUUUCUAAAUAAAAUAGCUCCCCAUUUUUCUGCACACCAUCCAACCAUUCAGGCUCAAGGUCAUCGGAGCUGGCGGACAGCGAGGUGCUGUCCGAGCCGCUCUCGCUGCCGGUGUCCGCGCACCCCGUGCUGCCACCCUGCAGCGGCUCCACACCCACAGCUACUCCGCUCGCGCCGUCCCCCUCGGACGCCAUGAC